GGGUUCCAGGCCAACCAGGCCAACCAGGAUAUCCUGGGAAACCUGGCAAGCCUCCUUCAGAUGAACAUCUUCUAAAGCUCUGCACAGAUGUUCUGCGUAAUCAACUCCCAGCACUACUCCAGACCCUGGCCCCCC
Molecule: long non-coding RNA, 135 nt
Organism: Etheostoma spectabile (orangethroat darter)
Lineage: Eukaryota; Metazoa; Chordata; Actinopteri; Perciformes; Percidae
Exons: 3
Source: RefSeq, a predicted model, not a curated record